UUUUUCUCUUGGCCCUCAUUAUCAUUGGUCACUUCCCACCAAACACUAAAUCAAAAGGCAACUAGUAAACAAACAGAACUAACCCUACCAUCACCACCAAAGUCUGAUGUAUGUAUAUGUUCCUUCCUGAAAAUGCAUAUGACUCACUUCUUUAAACAGCAAUUACAACUUUAACACUUGGUGCCAUCUUUAUCAGAUAACAUACCUACUUGACAUGAAAGAGUUCACUAACUACAACAGUUCUGCCGACUGUCGGUAGCUUGUCCCCACCAUUUCGCACGACUGGUCCCAAAAU
This 295-nucleotide long non-coding RNA is filed under the name Carica papaya (papaya). RNAcentral's name for it is "long non-coding RNA (CPAP_LNC006603)". The record is from RNAcentral. Lineage: Eukaryota; Viridiplantae; Streptophyta; Magnoliopsida; Brassicales; Caricaceae.